GACGAACGCUGGCGGCGUGCCUAAUACAUGCAAGUCGAACGCACUGGGGACGGGUGAGUAACACGUGGGUAACCUCCCAUCAGAGGGGAUAACCCUUGGAAACUGGUGCUAAACCGAUACUGAUGGAUGGACCCGCGGUGCAUUAGCUAGUUCGUGAGGUAACGGCUCACCAAGGCCACGAUGCAUAGCCGACCUGAGAGGUGGACCGGCCACACUGGGACUGAGACACGGCCCAGACUCCUACGGGAGGCAGAAGUGGGGAAUAUUGCACAAUGGGCGCAAGCCUGAGGCAGCCAUGCCGCGUGUAUGAAGAAGGCCGUCGGGUUUUAAAGUACUUUCAGCCGGGAGGCGUUACUGACAGAAGAAGCACCGGCUAACUCCGUGCCAGCAGCCGCGGUAAUUC
Molecule: ribosomal RNA, 403 nt
Filed under: uncultured bacterium
Lineage: Bacteria
Description: partial 16S ribosomal RNA
Rfam family: Bacterial small subunit ribosomal RNA
Source: RNAcentral